This 803-nucleotide long non-coding RNA is filed under the name Citrus x clementina. RNAcentral's name for it is "Citrus clementina (C. clementina) long non-coding RNA (CCLE_LNC000788)". Lineage: Eukaryota; Viridiplantae; Streptophyta; Magnoliopsida; Sapindales; Rutaceae. The record is from RNAcentral.
UACACUUAACUAACAGAGGGCUUGGACAUGGGCUUGAAAAAGCCCGGUCUAAGCCCGCUGUUUGCCAUCCCUACUCAAAAUGUGAGUAAAGUUUGUUUUCUUGUUUUUUUUUUUCUUUCAGAAUGAUUAGGGGAGCCCAAAUUACAAUUUUAACUGAACUCAAGUGGCAAUUAGAAUAUGCUAUUUAGGGUCUUAUAGAUGGUAUAACUUACAUCAACUCAAAAUAAAUUUCUUUUUUCUUACGACUCAAAUGUUGUUUGUUAAACAAUUAGAGAUUGAAGAAAAUUACUUUAAGGUCAAUUGCAAGUUACGUAUAAUGUAACUUAAUAAUUUUGUACAACUAAAACAAAAACUUGAUUAAGACCUUGAGGGACUAAUGCCAGCUCUAUACUUGUUCGGUUAUUGCUUUUAGUUUAUCAUAACAAGCCAUAGAUUUAAAAUUGAAAAAAAAAAUGAAACUUUUGUCCACGACCUCAAGUUCCCUUAAACCGGCCUUGCUUAGCCAAAUAAAAUUAGUUUUGAGUUAACGUGAUUAAUUCUUAGAACAAUGUGCUUAAUAUUCACAAACAAUUCAAGUUUGGUGUAGAGUAGGGUUGAUUUUUGGGUAUUAAGGGUCUUAGGAGAUUUUUAUUUAUUUAUUUACAUUUAGCAAUUUCAAUACUAAGGUGGUUUUUUCUUUUUUGUCUUAAAUCUGAAUAGACUUGAAUUAGUUUGAAUUUUGAAUAGAGCUGAAUGUAUGAAUCUAAAUGAUAUGUUUAUUUUUUUAUUUGAAUCGCUAAAAAUUAAAUAUUAAGUCAUUUUUU